Molecule: ribosomal RNA, 462 nt
Filed under: uncultured bacterium
Lineage: Bacteria
Description: SSU rRNA
Rfam family: Bacterial small subunit ribosomal RNA
Source: RNAcentral
AGGAUUAACGCUGGCGGCGUGCCUAACACAUGCAAGUCGAACGAGGUAGCAAUACCUAGUGGCAGACGGGUGAGUAGCGCGUGGUCAACCUACCGUUGAGUGGGGGAUAACUAGCCGAAAGGUUAGCUAAUACCGCAUACGUCUCCGAGGGGCAUCCCUUGGUGAUAAAAGGAGCAAUCCGCUCGAUGACGGGACCGCGUCCCAUUAGCUAGUUGGUGGGGUAACGGCCUACCAAGGCAUCGAUGGGUAGCUGGUUUGAGAGAGCGACCAGCCACACUGGGACUGAGAUACGGCCCAGACUCCUACGGGAGGCAGCAGUGAGGAAUUUUCCGCAAUGGGCGAAAGCCUGACGGAGCGACGCCGCGUGUGGGAAGAAGGCCUUCGGGUCGUAACCACUGUCGAAGGGGAGAUAAUGACGGUACCCUUGGAGGAAGCCCCGGCUAACUACGUGCCAGCAGCCGC